Molecule: ribosomal RNA, 1460 nt
Filed under: uncultured organism
Description: 16S ribosomal RNA
Rfam family: Bacterial small subunit ribosomal RNA
Source: RNAcentral
GAUGAACGCUGGCGGCGUGCCUAAUACAUGCAAGUCGAGCGAACGGACGAGAAGCUUGCUUCUCUGAUGUUAGCGGCGGACGGGUGAGUAACACGUGGAUAACCUACCUAUAAGACUGGGAUAACUUCGGGAAACCGGAGCUAAUACCGGAUAAUAUUUUGAACCGCAUGGUUCAAAAGUGAAAGACGGUCUUGCUGUCACUUAUAGAUGGAUCCGCGCUGCAUUAGCUAGUUGGUAAGGUAACGGCUUACCAAGGCAACGAUGCAUAGCCGACCUGAGAGGGUGAUCGGCCACACUGGAACUGAGACACGGUCCAGACUCCUACGGGAGGCAGCAGUAGGGAAUCUUCCGCAAUGGGCGAAAGCCUGACGGAGCAACGCCGCGUGAGUGAUGAAGGUCUUCGGAUCGUAAAACUCUGUUAUUAGGGAAGAACAUAUGUGUAAGUAACUGUGCACAUCUUGACGGUACCUAAUCAGAAAGCCACGGCUAACUACGUGCCAGCAGCCGCGGUAAUACGUAGGUGGCAAGCGUUAUCCGGAAUUAUUGGGCGUAAAGCGCGCGUAGGCGGUUUUUUAAGUCUGAUGUGAAAGCCCACGGCUCAACCGUGGAGGGUCAUUGGAAACUGGAAAACUUGAGUGCAGAAGAGGAAAGUGGAAUUCCAUGUGUAGCGGUGAAAUGCGCAGAGAUAUGGAGGAACACCAGUGGCGAAGGCGACUUUCUGGUCUGUAACUGACGCUGAUGUGCGAAAGCGUGGGGAUCAAACAGGAUUAGAUACCCUGGUAGUCCACGCCGUAAACGAUGAGUGCUAAGUGUUAGGGGGUUUCCGCCCCUUAGUGCUGCAGCUAACGCAUUAAGCACUCCGCCUGGGGAGUACGACCGCAAGGUUGAAACUCAAAGGAAUUGACGGGGACCCGCACAAGCGGUGGAGCAUGUGGUUUAAUUCGAAGCAACGCGAAGAACCUUACCAAAUCUUGACAUCCUUUGACAACUCUAGAGAUAGAGCCUUCCCCUUCGGGGGACAAAGUGACAGGUGGUGCAUGGUUGUCGUCAGCUCGUGUCGUGAGAUGUUGGGUUAAGUCCCGCAACGAGCGCAACCCUUAAGCUUAGUUGCCAUCAUUAAGUUGGGCACUCUAAGUUGACUGCCGGUGACAAACCGGAGGAAGGUGGGGAUGACGUCAAAUCAUCAUGCCCCUUAUGAUUUGGGCUACACACGUGCUACAAUGGACAAUACAAAGGGCAGCGAAACCGCGAGGUCAAGCAAAUCCCAUAAAGUUGUUCUCAGUUCGGAUUGUAGUCUGCAGCUCGACUACAUGAAGCUGGAAUCGCUAGUAAUCGUAGAUCAGCAUGCUACGGUGAAUACGUUCCCGGGUCUUGUACACACCGCCCGUCACACCACGAGAGUUUGUAACACCCGAAGCCGGUGGAGUAACCUUUUAGGAGCUAGCCGUCGAAGGUGGGAC